RNAcentral lists this ribosomal RNA (426 nucleotides) under uncultured bacterium. Its description in RNAcentral is "bacterial SSU rRNA". It matches the Rfam family "Bacterial small subunit ribosomal RNA", at positions 356 to 773 of the family's 1533-position model. The record is from RNAcentral.
GGGAAAUCUUGCGCAAUGGACGAAAGUCUGGCGCAGCAACGCCGCGUGAGUGAUGAAGGUCUUUGGAUCGUAAAGCUCUUUCGGGAGGGAAGAAAUGGUUGUGCGCUAAUACCGCAUAGCCUUGACGGUACCUUCAGAAGAAGCACCGGCUAACUCUGUGCCAGCAGCCGCGGUAAUACAGAGGGUGCAAGCGUUGUUCGGAAUCAUUGGGCGUAAAGCGAGUGUAGGCGGUCGAAAAGGUCGGGUGUGAAAUCCCAGGGCUUAACCCUGGAACUGCAUUCGAAACCGUUCGACUUGAGUACGGGAGAGGGUCGUGGAAUUGUCGGUGUAGAGGUGAAAUUCGUAGAUAUCGGCAAGAACAUCAGUGGCGAAGGCGACGACCUGGUCCGAUACUGACGCUCAGACUCGAAAGCGUGGGGAGCAAAC